CCUGGGGUGAGGCCUCUGCUGAGUGAUAGGGCUGGGAAAGGAGUGGGACAUGAAGUGAAUGUAGCACAUCUGGCCCCAGACCAAGACACAGGUUAUAGCAUUCUCUUUGUACAAAAAUAACUCGAUGGCUCCGUAAAUAACCGAAGCCUCACCACUUGUACAAACGACCUUGUUGCAGAGGCAGCAUUUCUUUUGACACUAAAAAUUCUCUCUUCCUUAAAGCAUUUUUAUGAUUGUGACAUAAUUAUUACUACUGUUACUAAACACUCUCGUAGGCCAUGGUAUUUAAAAAAAAUAUUUGUUUAUAUGGGAGGCACAGAGACAGAGGGAGAAGAAGGUAGAAAGUGCUCCCAUUUGCUGGUUUACUCCUGAGAUGCCUGCAAGUAGCUGGGGCAGAACUGGGUCAAACACCGAAGCUGAGAAUGCAGUUCAGGUCUUCCAUGUGGGUGGCAGGGAUGCAUUACUUGAGCCAUUACUGCUGUUUCCCAGGGUCUGCCUUAGCAGGAAGCUGGAAUCUGGAGCUGGAAUAAAAUCCUGGGCACUACAGUAUGGCAGGCAGGUAUCUUAACUGCUAGGAUAAAUGCUAGUUUCCAGACUAUGGUAUUUUGAGAGAUCUCUGCAACAGCUUCAUUCAUCUCUCAUGGCAGCCUUGUUGGUUUUUUUAAUCCUAGUUUUGUAGAUGAGAAAAAGCUAAGCUGUUGUAUCAGAUCUCACAGUGAGGAGGGGGCUGAUGCAAGCCCUUCUGAAUCUUGCAACUUCUGCUCACCCCAUUUCAUUUACAUGAAACAAAGCCCAUCUCAAGGUGAUGGGCUAAGUGGACUCCCUGAUCCUUCCCCCCGCAUUGCUUUGAGCUCUUCAUCUAAUUUCUACUCUUCUUUCUUUUAUUUAUUUAUUUGAGAGGGAGAGUUGUUGACAGAGAGGGAGAAAGAGAGAAAGGUUUCCAUAUGCUGGUUCACUCCCCAAACUGCCAAAACGGCUAGAGCUGGGCCUAUCUGAAGCCAGGAGCUUCUUCUGGGUCUCUUAUGUGGGUGCAGGGGCCCAAACACUUGGGCCACCUUCUACUGCUUUCCCAGGCCAUAAGUAGAGAACUGGAUCAGAAGAGGAACAGCUGAGACACAAACCAGCACCCCUAUGGAAUGCCAGCGCCCUAGGUGAGGGCUUAGUGUACCACACCACAGUGCCGGCUCCUACUCUUCUUUUAGCUUCUGUUCUCAGUUCCAUCUGUGCCCUACACUUCCCUGGGCCCACCCACCUGGGUACCUGAGUAAAAGCUUCCCAAAGUGUCAGAUGCUUUAUGAGUCUCCUUGUCCAACCUCCACUGCCCAAAGGAGACACUGAUUCAAAUUUACUGAGCUCUUUCUGUUCCAAUGGCUGCUGUUAAUAGAAGCCUGAUUUUUUAAUUUAUGGUUCUGUUAUUUGGGAAGCCAUUCUAGGAUUUGAUAAUAUACUUUGAUAAUAUACUUUGCUCUUGGGAGCUUCUAGCACUUUGCACAAUGAAUUAGGUUCGCAAUCUACAUUGCUGAAGCGUCUCAGGUUUUAAGAUGAGUGUAGUGAUGAAGAGCAUGACUCUGGAGGCAGACAAUUGUUACCCACUGUUCCUUCCUGGUUUGGAACCUUGGUCAAGUUCCACAACCUUCCUGGUAGUCAGUUAUCUCUUCUGCUUUAUAUGGAAGAAUGUAAUAGAAUUCUUAGGAGCAUUAAAUGAGAUAAUGCAUUUAAAACCAUAGUAUGUGAUCAACAUGUGCAAGUUAUUGUGUUCAUCAUCACUACUAUCAUCUUCAUCUCCCUAUGUCCCUGUAUGUGUACACCUAAGAGGAAGAUGUAUCCGGGACAGGGAAUAUUACCUUUCUGAUGAUUAAUUACUCAAAACAUGAUCAGAUGAUUCCUCUCCAUAGGGAUCUGGUGAGGAAAGUGAUCCAGAAUUUUCACCUCUUUUUAUGUAGGCGGGGGAGAAAUGGAAGAUUUCCACAUGGGAAGCCCUUUUGCUCCCAUAAAGAUGUGAUUAGAAGCAGAGUCACCAAUUAUUCAGGGUGUUCCAACUGCAGCUAAUUCAUCAUGGCCCUUAAGACUCAGAGGUUUUAUUGGAGUCAGGAAAAUCUGGGGCCUUGCCUUUUUUUUUUAUUAUUUGAAAGGCAGACACACACACACACACACACACACACAGAUUUUAGAUCUGCUGGUAUCCUCCUCAAAUGAUUGUGACAGCAAGGGCUGGGCUAGACUGAAGCCAGGAGCUGGGAAUUUAGUCUGGGUCUACCACAUGGGAAGCAGGGACCCAACCACUUGAGCAAUGAUUUGAUAAUCCCCAGAGUGUGUAUUAGUAGGAAGCUAAAAUCAGGAGCAGAGCCAGGACUCAAACAACGACAUUCAGCUGUGAGGUGCAGGAGUCCUAAGCAUUGUCUUAUCUGCUUCACUAAACACCCUUGGGCCCUCACUUUUGGUGAUCACUAACCCUCUUACAUAAUCUUGGGCAAUUUAUUUCCACUCUGAAUGCCAGUUUACUCAUCUACAAAAAAGGGGUUUUCUUCUGUGAAGACGUUUACAUAAACAUGACCUAUAAAUGAAAACAUGUCAUUGAAAGACACUUGGUUCUGUUUAUUUCUGGGGUGGGCUCUUUGCUUAUCUUCACUUUCCAAUCUCUAGCUAAGCAGGAGUCGGUUUCAUUGAGGCUGGAAUGAGAAGGUUGGAAGGGAUCCUGCCAGUUCCUGAGGACUGGCAUUGAUGGCAACCAUGUGAACAGUGUGCACUGCUAUGCAACAAAGGUCUGGCAUGGUGCCUGGCACACAGGAAAUACCUAAUGAGGGGUGAGUGAUCGAGAUCACUUGGUGGCACUGUGGCUCAAGAGGUAGGCUCACUUUAGUGACCUCCAUCUUGGAGCACAACUACCUAGUGUGUAUGUGGGUGUGGGAUGUGAAGUCAUCAUUAGAGGUGGUGAUCUGCCCUAUAAUCACAUGUGGGGCACAGGCACAGGGAGCUUGCAUAGGCUGCAUGGCUGUACAGUGCAGUAGGUUUCAUGGUAGUUCCACAGAAAAUUUAUCAACAUGAAGACUUAGCUAUUGACACACUGAAAGCAACAGCUUAAGAGAAACCAAACUUUGAAAGCAUAAUGUCACAACCACUUCAAUGACCCCCUUUUUUCUUGCAGAGGAAUGAGCAUGAAUUAUUGGAUACAUAUGGUGGUGAGAUGGGCUAGAGGAAAAGCUAAUUUCCUAAAUCAUAUUAAAAUUUCCAUUAAAUUGUCAAUGAAAUUUUCUAUUAAAUAUUUUAAUUGGAAUGUAUUUUUGAAGCCUUGAUCCAGAUUCUCAUUAUUAAAAAUAUGACUUUGUUUUUUGACAUAUGUAAAAGCAGCAGUGUCCAUUCCCUCUUCCCUUAACUACUAAGAAUCCCAGUAAUUCUGAAUAGUAUUACUCAUAAAAUGAAGAAAAAAGACACAGCCAUCUGUGUUGAAUGCUUUGUGUCUCAGAUGGAAUACAGAAUGAUGAGAAGAAAGUUUGUAGUGGAAACUUCAGUGGCAGAAUGAUUUUACGGUAAUUUCGUUUUAGUGAGGGAAGUGUAGACAGUAUUGGUCCCAACAUAAGAUUCACAUAGUAACUGACUCACCCAGGUGUUUGUAUUACCUUAUUGCUUCAAACAGAUGAAUAUCUGGCAUAUAAAAUAGUAGCCCUGGCAUGGUUUUGUGCAGCUACUGACGGAGGCUGGAUCAACCUUUAUGCUUAGAUGAGGUUAAGGAUGCUUUGUCCAUCUUUGCCUUGUCGUUCUUAUCUUUAUUGCAUUAAGAAUCAUCUGCUGAUAAAAUUUCAAGGAAAAUAGGGCAAUUAGUCACCAUUUUGCAAAAAUUCAAAUGCUUCUGUUUAAAAACACAUAUUGAAUAGAGUGAAUGGAGUGUUCUAAAUAGUUGCUUUCUCUUAUGGAGGAGAUGCAUAGGAUUCAUUAGCUUGUACUUUUGAUCCCCAAAAGAAAUGAAGGCAUAGAGCAUUAUAGGAAUAUAACCGCACUAAAGUGGCAGAGCCAAGUUGAGAAUGCCAUCAUGGAUCUCCUGUUGGACAGGACAGUCUCCUUUCUGCCAGACCACGUUACUAUUCUUCAUUCUUAUUUACUGGAGCUCUAAUUUUGCAAAAUAAUUUAGUUUAUUCUUCCUAUUGUUGGCUUAUUGUUCAACAGCUUGAGCAUUCACUCUAAAUGGGUCUGCAUUUCACUUUUUAAAAAAUAUAGUCAAGUGUAUGUUUUUAUCUUCAAAUGUCUUCAUUUAGAAUCAACAAGGAUAUGUAUAUGUUUAAAGAGUUUUGAUAUGAAAAUUCUAUGUCAUGAAUGGCUUCUGCUUGAAGGGAGGAGAUAAACUAACCACAUUAAGUUAUGCUUGAGGAAGGAGACUGAGGCAAUAUAGACAAGGAAGGAAGAAGAAAUAAGAGUCCAGCUAGGUUGCAGAUAAGUGCAACAAUCCUAUUGUUCUGAUGGAUUUCUUCCUGUAAACAAUAGAUCUUUUAUUUUUAAGAUUUAUUUUAUUUAUUUGAAAGAAUCAUACACACACAUACACAUACACACAGAGAGAGAAAGAGCUGGGGAGAGAGAGAGAGAGAAAGAGAGGAAGAGAGAGAGAGAGAGAGAGAGGUCUUCUAUUUGCUGGUUAACUCCCCAAAUGGCUGCAAUGGCCAGGGCUGGGCCAGGCUAAAGCCAGUAGCCAUGAGCCUUGUCUAGGUCUCCCACACGGGUUCAGGGGCCUAAGCACUCGGGCCAUCUUCUGCUGCUUUACCAGGCACAUUAUUAGGGAGUGGAACAGCUGGAAUUUGAUCAAAUGCCCAUAUGGGAUGCUGGUAUUGCAGGUGGCAGCUUAACCUGCCACACCACAACACCAGCCCCUAGACCUAUUUUACAGCUAAAAUGGAGAGAGCUCACGUGAGCAAUGACUCCAAGUGAUCUGUCAACUGUUUGUGCUAAAAGAAAACCUUUUAGUGUGAUCAGAGCUGUCAAUACAUCUCUAUCUGUGGAAACAAGGAGGCCUUCCAUUUACAGAAACUUCCCUUCUCCUCAAGUGCUAACAGACAUCAUGGUAGAUUUCAACACUGCUGAGUGUUUGUCAAGGAGUUAGUGUUAGGAUUAUAGGGUCUUUGAUUUGUCUGAUGUUGAUCAGUGAGAGGAAUAAGAUACUGAACAAGUCAUUCUAUUAAAAUGCUAGAAAAGAACAAUCCAAGGGACAUCAACCAUUGAACUGUGAGCUCACUGUAAUAAUUCAAAGAUAGCCAAUUUGUGGCGAUCUCAGUGGUCACUGAGAUAAGGAAUAAUGUCCAUCUGCAAAGCUUGCAACUAACUAUUCACAGAGAACUUUUUAAAAAAGCACUCCCUAUUUUAGCUGUAGAAGAUCAGGAUCUCAGUUCUGCAGCAGGGUUUGCACUAUAAGAAUGAGAAGCUCCUGACAGAAGAUAAAGAGCACCUCAAUUCCAUCCAUUAAAACAUUGGUAAUUGAUUACAUAUUGUUUUUUGCUUUCAAAGUCCCUUAUGAUCUGUGUGCUUAAAACUGAGUUCAUCAUCUGCCUCACAGACCCAGUGCCCUCUCCUAGGAGAAGAAUACUACUAUCAUUAUUCUGGAAGUUUGCUUCCUCUUCCACCCCUAUAUCCCAUCAUUGCCAAGUUCCUGAAUCUGCCCAAUUCUCUAAUCUCCCUUGCUACCAUCUCUAUCUGAGCUAUUGUCAUCUCUCACCUGGAUGACAAUAAUUCCCUCCAUAGCCUCCAUUUUUCCUCCAAGCCAUUCCUCACAUAGCAACCAAAGUCAUUUGCUGAAAAACACAUCUAUUGAUAUCAGCCUUCUAUUCUAAAGAUCCUUCAAUAGCCACAGUUUACUUUCACUUAUGAAAGGCAUAGUCCUUAAUAUAGCCAACUGGACCUUGCAUGCUCUGGCUAUAGUUCCUUCACUUCUAGAAUGGAGAUAGUAUCCAUCAGAAUUAAACAAGGUGGGGCUGGCACUGUGGUGAAGUGGAUAAAUCUGCUAUCAGUGAUGUCGGCAUCCCAUAUAGGUGUCAAUUUGAGUCCUGGAUGCUCCACUUCCCAUCUAUUUCCCUUCUAAUGGCCUGCGAAAAGCAAUGGAAGGUGUGGGUCAAGUGCUUGGGCCCCUGCUACGCACAUGGGAGACCCAGAUGAAGCUCCUGGCUUCAACCUGCCUCAGUCCUGGCCAUUGUGGUCAUCUUGGUAGUGAACCAGUAGAUGGAAGAGCUCUCUAUCUCUCCUUCUCUUUCUGUAACUCUGUAUUUCAGAUAAAUGAGUGCAUCUAAGGAAAAAAAGAAUUUGGGCUGGUGCUGUGGUGCAGCGGGUUAAAGCCCCCUCUUGCAGCACCUGCAUGCCAUAUGGGCACUGGUCCAAGUCCUGGCUGCUCCAUUUUCUAUCUAGCUCCCUGCUAAUGCACCUGAGAAGGUAGCAGAGGAUGGCCCAGGUCUUUGAGCCCCUGCACCCAAGUGGGAGACCUGUAGGAAGCUCUUGACUCCUGGCUUUGGAUCGGCUCAGCUCUGGCCAUAUGGCCAUUUGGGGAGUAAACCAGUGGAUGGAAGACCUCUCUCUCUGUGUUUUCUACCUCUCUCUGUAACUGUCUUUCAAAUAAAUAAAGUGGAUCUUAAAAUAAGAAUUAAAGAAUUAAAUAAUGUAUGGAAAGUGCUUAUGAAGCAUCUAGGACUUAUGAAGUAUUCAAUAAAUAUUCUUCGUUAUUUUUCUUAUUACCAUUCCAGUUUUUUUUUUUUUAUCGUUACCACUUUCCCUUUCCACCUGUAGUUCCAGCAUCACUCAUCUUACUUUCAUUUUUCAAACAUGCCAGGUACUUUCUUUUUCUUUCUUUUUUUAAAAAAUUUAUUUAUUUAUCUGAAAGAGUUACACACACACACACACACACAGAGAGAGAGAGAGAGAGAGAGAGAAAGAGAUCUUCCAUCUGAUAGUUCACUCCCAGUUGGCCACAAUGGCUGGAGUUGCACCAAUCCUAAACCAGGAGCCAGGAGCUUUUUCUGGGUCUUCCAUGAGGGUGCAGGGGUCCAAGGACUUGGGCCAUCUUCCACUGCCUUCCCAGGCUAUAGCAGAGAGCUGUAUUGGGAGUGGCACAGCCAGGUCUCGAACCGGCGCCCAUAUGGGAUGCCGGCACCUCAGGCCAGGGUGUUAACCCGCUGUACCAUGGUGCCAGCCCCGCCAGGGGUUUUCUUACUACAUGUUGUUUCUUUCCCUGUAAGGCUUCUUCACACCCACUCACCUUACUUAGUGCUUCUAUCUUAGAGAUAUAAGCAGAGGAGAAAUAUCACUUCCUUGGGAAAUUCUCUUUGCCAACUAGAGUAGACCAAAUGCCCUUGGUUAUUUGCACAAUCCUUUCAUUAAUAUUUUCAUCCACAUUGUCCUCAUCAAUUUUCCCUCUCAAAAUGAAAUCCCUAGGUCCAGGCAUGAUACCCAGAUACUCAAAUAGUAGUUGAAUGAGUGAAUUAACUCUGCUAAGUUCUGUAUCAAGGGAUUGGUGUCACUGUGCUUGGCAAAAAGUUACCAAAUUGAGAAAACUUUAGGCUAAAAUUUGAAGGGGAGGGCGACUUGAAAAGAAAGAAAAAAGAACAGAAAUCAAGACACCAGAAGAAAACAAAUUUGGUAAAAGAUUGUGAAAGUAGUGCCUCAUGAUCCUGAAGUGAAAACGACAGGACAGGAAGUUGGGAACAAUUAUUUAUAGACUCAGGGAUCCAUAUGAUUAGGGAGUGCAUAUGAUUUGGGGAGUUAGUAAAAUGGCCUUAAAAUUUUAACCCAGAGGAAUAAGUAAGUUUUAUUAAUUUACUCAUCUCUCAACUAAUAUUUGUGCUGUCACAGAUAACAUUAAAUCUUCUUGGAAGGGGCUAAGGACAAGAAUAGACAAUUAAGACAAUAUAAUUCUUCCUUGAAAAAACAUAAACCGAGUAUCUGGAAGAAAAUAUAGAUAUCACUAUUUAGGGAAUCUGCAAACUUCACUGAAAAAUUCUGAUUAUCCUAUGUGGGUAUGGGUUUUUUUGGUCUGUAUUUAUGGAUGCUUCUGUGGGUCGUUAUCUAACGUGCUCCAUAAAUCCAGCAGAGGACAGCCACUUUGGCAUCUUUAGGUUCCCCCUCUUUUACUCUUUGUGUGUUUAUUGUUAGUUUUUGGAACCACCUUUCUGUUCAGAUUUGCCAUUGAUGUAUUUGUGCAUCUCUUUCCUCUGGACUUCUAAAAACCUUUUUAAAAAACCAGUAGUUUUCUGUUUUCUACAUUAUAUUCCUUAUAUUUUUAUGAACACUAAUAUUAAAAUCAUCUUUUCAAAAGUUGCCAGCAUUUUUACUUCAUUGUUUAGCCUGUUCUUACUUAUCAGAAUGAGGUCAGGGUAACAACUUCUCUUAUUUCUUCAAACAUUUAGGGGAUUAUAUAUAUUUUUAAGGAAAAGUAGGCAUCUUAGGUAUCUUUUUAGAUCCUCUUUUGCCAGAGGCAUGUGUCCAUCAGGCAUCCAGAUAGCUGAAAUCUCUUUUUACUCCUUUUUGGGGAUUUCCCUUAUUUCAGGAAGAACCCAUCCAUAGCUUCCACAGGAGAUGGUCCAUAUUCUGUUUGUUCUAUCUAUUUCCGAUUCUCUCGCCUCUGGUUUUAUCUGAAUAUCCCCAGCCUUUCACCAUCAUAGUGGGGUCACCUAUGGAAUUAGGGAGCUACAUUGAUUGGAAUCCUUAGUGAUCUAAGUAAAGAAAACCCAAAUGGCAAGAAAGAAAGAAAGGAGGGAGGGAGGGAAGAGAAAUGUGGGAGAGGAGAGAGAGAGAGCAAAUGAGAGAAAGACUCUUGGAAGCAAGGAAGGAAGGCAGGAAGGGGGGAGGGAGGGAGGGAAGAAGAAAGAAAAGAAAGAAAAAAAGAAAGAGAAAGACAUUUAUUAGCUUACAAAACUGAAUGGAUUCAAGUAGCUGACUGCAGGCAGAGUUUGAUUCAGGGUCACGAACAAGAUCACCUAGCUGAAGUCUUUUCUCUCCUUCAUUCUCAGCCAUCUCACACAGGCAACAUGGCUCAUGGCAUUCUUGGCUUCACAUAAUUUUAGGCUUAAAUCUGAUGGGAAAGGACAUGUAUCUUUCUUAUAAGAUUUCCAGCAAAAUUUCAUUGCAUCUCAUUGACUAUACUUGGGUCAUUCUUGAAGCAGUUCCUGAGGAAGGGGGAACAUGAUAUUUUGAUUGUCUGGGCUGUGUGACAUCCCUGGAAUUAGUGGAGGAGUGGCAGUACAGGAGGGGAUAUUUCCAGUGGAAAAAGUGGAUGCUGCUGUCAGGAAAGGGGCAGAAGAAUUCUGUCAAAAACAUAGGAUGUGGGGCCAGUAAAGCCACUGCCUACAGUGCCAGCAUCCCAUAUGGGCGCCAGUUUGUGUCCUGGCUGCUCCACUUCCAAUUCAGCUCUCUGCUGUGGCCGGAAAAGCAGUGAAGAUGGCCCAAAUUCUUGGGCCCCUGCACUCAUGUAGGAGAUCUGGGGGAAGCUCCUGGCUCCUGGCUCCUGGCUCCUGGCUCCUGGCUCCUGGCUUGGGAUCAUCUCAGCUCUGGCCAUUGCAACCAUCUGGGAGUGAGCCAGUAGAUGGAAGACUCUCUCUCUCUCUCUCUCUCUCUCUCUCUCUGUAGCUCUGCCUUUCAAAUAAAUAAACAAAUCUUUUUAAAAAUACAAAAAACUGGAUGUAUAUUGCAGCAAAGAAGGCAAUAAAACAAAAAGCAUUGAAAACAAAGAAGUGAAAGUCAUGGGAAUAUUGUACCUACAGAAUGUGGUAGGUGUAAAAGGAGAGAGACUCAGAACCCAGAGCACCAAUGAAUAUAUUAAAAGUUGAUUUAAAGGGAAAGAAUUUGGAUUUAUGCAUAGCUUUAUAUUUUAUGGGGGAAGGAUACACUAGGCACCUUUCUGAGAGUCAAACCACACAAUUCCCAUUAGCACAGUCAUGUUGACAUUUGCAUUAUGAGAAGGUAUUCAUCUCAACUAAGGAGUUACCCCUAGUAGAGAUGAACAGUGCAGUGCUCAUUAAACCUUAUGGCCUCUGGGUUUAGUGCUGAUAUUUUUACCUCUUACCUGUUUGAAAGUUUCAAGACACACAGUGAAUCAGCACUCCUCAGAGACAGAUGCCACAGAGUUAUGAGAGAAGAGUCUGGCUUGAGGAACUGAGUAAUUACAUGGAAAUUUGUUCUUUACUAGCCCAGAUGGGGUUUUGUCUUACUGUUUUUCAAUUUUUUUUGGAGAAAAAAUUCACCACAAAAUAAACCCAAAAGAAAACUGUAUGAGAAAGUCUCCAUAUUACAAUCUGGAAGUGAUCAAUUUAAAGAUGCAAAAGUCAGCAGGUUUGGUAUUCAGAAUUUUCACGGUCACAUUGAACUUGUCUUCAUGGUACACAAGUAUAUUCUGGGUUAUUGUCCUCGUAUGGGUUCACUGCUAAGCAUGUACUCCUUUUGGUUGUUUUGGCUCUUAGCCUCACAUGUUGGGGCAAGUUAAUGCUGUAUAUGAAUUUUAAUGUGUAUUUCCUCACUUUGGUCCAGGGCCAAAAUAGCAUGCAGGGAGAUAGGGCAGUGAUUGAUCCUGGCACUCCUGAGAGUAGUAAGCUCCUUAGGAUAUUAAAGUUUAAUCACCUCUCAGAAGUGGAUGAAGACCACUGAGGACACCGGGAAGGAUACCAGUCUACCUACUUGUGUGCUUUUAGUUUUUUUUUGAAGCACAGGACACCCCAUUUUUUUCCUGGGCUGGAAAUGGGGAGGAGGAACAGGUAAUUCAGAGAGAAAUUAGUGUAGGAUUAGUCUGGGAAUAUAGCCUAGCUAGGCCGCUAGCUAUCAGUUGGCCAGAUUCUCCAUCAUUCACAACCUUGGAGGCUCCCCCAGCCUGAAACAGCAGGGUGUGUGGAUGUUGUGACACAGAGCUCGUCAGGGUAUGUAGAUGCUGGGAUGCUGAGCUCCAGUGACAGAGGCUAACACCUGAGAACUCUCCCUGUUAGGGCCCAAGCACCCCCAGAUGCCUUUCUCUUUUUCUCAUAGGAGUCUUUAAUGCCUAUGUACCUAGUGUGAUAUGAGACCUUUAUAAUAUGUAUCAUCUCAUUGAUUUCUCAAAACAUCUAUUCAGGGUAGAUAUUAUUAAUUUAAUUUAUAUUGUUAAAAAAUAAGAGGCUCAUAGAAGCUAGCUGGCUAAGGUACCAUAGUCAGUAAGAUAGCUGGGGUUGGUUACUGGGUUCAUCUGAUUCUAUAGUCAUGCUUGUCCAUGAAAUACAGUUUUCAUCAAGACUUCUAGAACAUUCAGAGGCUGGCAGGUGCAGAAGAGUUGAGGUGAAGGGCAGAUAGUGCCCGGCAGGAAAGAGAGGCACGGUUUUCUUUGAGAGGCAGCUGUGACCCCUUCUGUACCCUCGGGCCUGGCCUCCCACUCUGCCCUAGCUUUGCUGUGGUGAAAACUCUGCAGGGUAGGGGUGGGGGGUAGCCUCCUUGUGCUUCUUUAGCACUUGGCUGGCACUCCCAAGCUUGUUCAACAGGUGGCAGCUGUUGGAUCACUCAAGAAUAAAGACUUCUCAGGAUCUCAGUUUGCUUCUCUGAAAAAUGAAUCCCAUAGUCAUCUCUGUCUAUGCACUGUGUACCUGGAGAGCAUGAGAGCAUUUCUUCAAAGUGAAUGGAAGCGGUGUGACUUCUUUGGGCAGGCUGUGUCCCCCCUCCCAGCACUGGUUCCUGUGCAGGCACUCACCCCGCCAAGCUCAGCAGGCCACCAAGUCUCAUUUCUAGUGAAUGUCAUUUAAAAGCCAAAGCAAGCUGACUACAGACUUUUUAACAUGCGUCUCUCAUCUGCUAAGCAGAAAUCCCUGUAACUUGUUAAUAGUUCUCCUCUUAUUUUUUUGUAGUGAAACCAAUUGAGGCCCUAAAUCAGUACCAUUCAUUCCAUCAUGGGCCAUCUGAGAAAACCAUUUAGAGUUGUGGAAAGUCAUCUGCUCCAUCUUGCACUUCCUGUAGCAGAGCCGGAGUCAGGCCCGAUGGAGCAUACCUAUCCCAGGACAGUGCCGUGUGCUGAGCAGGUGGUCUCCUUGGGGACCACAUAAACACCACAUCAGGGAGGGCAAGGGCAGACCUUCAAAGAGAGGAGAGCAUAUACAUAUCCUGUAAAACACAAAUCUCUGUACAGCAGGAGUCAGGUUUCUCCAUGUGUGCCAUAGCCCUAAUUUCAGUGAGGCUCAUGGCAUUUAAGGUGAAAAGGAGGAAAACAUGUAGGAUGCCUCCAAGAAGAUAAAUGGAUCCCUGGGCUUUCCACGAGGCACAGCCCGUUUAGCCACACAAAACCAUGAAGCAUGAGAUGUGCUUCUUCCUCCUUCUCCAAUCUUCCUUUUCCAAAAAUGCCUUCAUUAUAUUGAAGUGAUUCCUUGUGUAGUAUUUGGACUUGCUCAUUUGCACUUUAUAUGAGUUUGAUGUUUAGAUAUAGACAUAAUACUGACAAGGACAGAAAGGGGGGGCUCUAGUUCAAAGUCUUCGUUUCACAGCUGAGGAAAAUGAAAAGGUAGUUGUGUUGCUUGUGACACAAGCUGCGCAGAGGUCAACGGACCUGGGUUUGAGCCGAGAGCCCUUCUCAGUGUGGCAUUAUCUCUAGUUGUAGAAUAAAAUCUAAUUUUCUGAGGUGGGCAUUUAAUCUAGUAGUUAAGUUGUCAGUUAAGAUGUGGGAAACCUGGAUUGAGUUCCCGGCCUUAGCCCUGGAGUCCAGCUCCAGCCAUUGUGGGCAUUUAGGAAGUGAUUCAGCAGAUGUUUCUCUCCCAAUCUCUCUGCAUCUCAAGUAAAUUUUCAAAAUAUUAUUUAAAAAAUAAUCACUCUUCUCUUGAAGGAAUUUAAGUUCUGAACUGGAAAUGAGGAAUGAGUUUCCUGAAUGGAGUCUAAUAUCAGCAGUUAUUUAUAUUUAAACCCAAUUCUACCUUGAAGGCUUAUUUGGGGAAUUCUUUUGACCAAGAGAAAGAUGAUUUUAGUUGGGUUUUAUAAAAUUUAACUGAAAAAAUCAGCAAGAGCCACAUUUGUGCUUCUCUUGCCAAUACCACUACCUGUAUCUGUGAAUGUAGGCUAAUGAAUUUUUUUUCCUGCUAAAAUUAACUUUGGGCUUCUCUUGGAAGAAUCUGAUUCUUAAUUCACACACCUGGGUUGCUCCAUCCCCGCACACUGGGAGGGUUUCUUUGUAGCCCUAUGACUCUGGAAUCCUGCCAGCUUUCUUCACAUUUUCCUCAUUGACAAAAAUCUGAUUCCUGCUCCUUUCCACCUAAAAUCUCCUUAAUCAUUUUAUAGCCCUCAGGUUCUAAGGGUGCCAAUAUGAGUUGUGGGUGAACUAAAGGAUAUCCCACUCCUUAGGGGCUAGGGUGGAGUUGGGUGCUCAGCUCCUAACAGUUCUGGGAAAGUUCCAACCUUCCCUGAAGGAAGAUAUUCCGUCAGAGGAGAUUCCCCACUGAGGACAAAACGGCUGCUCCUGCUGCAAUCAAAGACAUUGGCGCUGCAGCCCCAGCACCCGCCACUGUCUUUAAAGCCCACUGGGUGAGGCAGGAAGUGGAUGCUGCACUGUGCUUCUUGGUCCCUUGAAAGAAGAUGCUUGUAACAAGAGAACAUAUGUGAAAUAGAUUGGUGCAUGAACCACGAAUCCAGCUUUGACAUCCAGACAUCAUGAGAUCAGUUAUGUCAAAUACUGAUUCAGGGACUUUUAGAAAUGAAAGAAAUCUGUACAUCCUCUAACCCCAAGAGUGGUCUUAGGACCAUGACCUGAGAACUUGUUAGAGAUGCACGUUCUCAGGCCCUGGCCCAGACUUGCAGAAUCAGAAACUCUAAGGAGGGAGUCACAAGUCUGUGUCUUCGUCAGCCCUCCACUGAUUCUCAUGUGCACUUUAGUUUAAGAAUCACUCCUCUGAGUACUUUGAAAUAUGGAAUUUGGGUUGUGUAAUUUGUUCUCAAACUUUGAUGUAUAUUAGAAUAAUUUGGGAGGACUUUUGAAGUAAUUCCGAUGUGGUGGUCUCCUGCCCGGGAACCCUCCUCUAGAUGGUCUGAGGUAGAAUCCUGGAACACUGGCGUUUUUUUUAAAAAAGUGGGCAAGUUCCUCUUGGCUUGAAAACCAGCGAUCUAACUCACUCCCUCAUCUCUGGGUGUGGAAAUGGACACCUGGACAAGGUGAGUGAGGGGCUCAGGGUCAUAAGGUGGGUUAGUGCAGCAAAACUGUGAAUAGAACCGUAAUCUCCCAGUUUGCAUGGCCUUUUGUCUUCACAAAUAUCUAAAUCUUAGUCAGGCUCCUGUCAAGAAGAAGACAGCAGAUCUUUUGAGUCCUAAUGACUUUGUUUCUGGAUAGCCUUGCUGUCUUCCAACCUCAUUUUUUUUUUUGACAGGCAGAGUGGACAGUGAGAGAGAGAGAGAGAGAGAGAGAGAGAAAGGUCUUCCUUUUUGCCGUUGGUUCACCCUCCAAUGGCCGCCGCGGCCAGCGCGCUGUGGCCGGCGCACUGCGCUGAUCCGAUGGCAGGAGCCAGGUACUUAUCCUGGUCUCCCAUGGGGUGCAGGGCCCAAGCACUUGGGCCAUCCUCCACUGCACUCCCUGGCCACAGCAGAGAGCUGGCCUGGAAGAGGGACAACCGGGACAGAAUCCGGCGCCCCGACCGGGACUAGAACCAAGUGUGCCGGCGCCGCAAAGCAGAGGAUUAGCCUAGUGAGCUGUGGCGCCGGCCCCAACCUCAUUCUUAUGAUACUCCUGCUCCUAAUGUCUUUCAUAUGACAAAACUUUAAUCUCUUACCCCAGUUUCCACUUGGGUCCCUCUGUCUGCCUUCCCAGUCCCAAGUCCUGACUUGGAGCCCUCCACUAGUACCCAUUUUUUCUUGAGAUUAGGGUCCUGCUUUGGCAUCUUACGUGUUGACUGCAAGACUGAAAAUGUCCAAGUAGACAACAGUCUCUGUUGAAAACUUAAUGCAUUUUCUUUGCUUUGAGAGUGGGACAAGCUGAUGGGUGGAUUUGAAUUAUGAUCACCAGAGGUGUUAUUAGAAAGUGAAUUUGGGCUGGCGCCAUGGCUCACUAGGCUAAUCCUGUGCCUGUGGUGCCGGCACACCGGGUUCUAGUCCUGGUCGGGGCACCGGAUUCUGUCCCUGUUGCUCCUCUUCCAGUCCAGCUCUCUGCUGUGGCCCAGGAGGGCAGUGGAGGAUGGCCCAGGUCCUUGAGCCCUGCACCCGCAUGGGAGACCAGGAGGAAACACCUGGCUCCUGGCUUUGGAUUAGCGCAGCGUGCCAGCUGCAAUGCGCCGGCCGUAGUGGCCACUUUGGGGGUGAACCAACGGAAAAGGAAGACCUUUCUCUCUGUCUCUCUCUCUCACUGUCUAACUCUGCCUGUCCCAAAACAAACAAACAAACAAAAAAAACCAAACAAACAAACAAAAAAAGCAAGAAAAAAAAAGAAA
This is a non-coding RNA of Oryctolagus cuniculus (rabbit), 15365 nucleotides long. NCBI's taxonomy places the organism in Eukaryota, Metazoa, Chordata, Mammalia, Lagomorpha, Leporidae. The record is from RefSeq and is a predicted model, not a curated record.